GACGAACGCUGGCGGCGUGCUUAACACAUGCAAGUCGAACGGAAAGGCCCCUUUUGGGGUACUCGAGUGGCGAACGGGUGCGUAACACGUGAGUAACCUGCCCUUGACUUCGGGAUAACUUCAGGAAACUGGGGCUAAUACCGGAUAGGAAUCCUUGCUGCAUGGUGGGGGUUGGAAAGCUUCGGCGGUUUUGGAUGGACUCGCGGCUUAUCAGCUUGUUGGUGGGGUAGUGGCUUACCAAGGCUUUGACGGGUAGCCGGCCUGAGAGGGCGACCGGCCACAUUGGGACUGAGAUACGGCCCAGACUCCUACGGGAGGCAGCAGUGGGGAAUAUUGCACAAUGGGCGGAAGCCUGAUGCAGCAACGCCGCGUGCGGGAUGACGGCCUUCGGGUUGUAAACCGCUUUCAGCAGGGGCGAAGCUUGUGGUGACGGUACCUGCAGAAGAAGCACCGGCUAACUACGUG
RNAcentral lists this ribosomal RNA (465 nucleotides) under uncultured bacterium. RNAcentral's name for it is "partial 16S ribosomal RNA". It matches the Rfam family "Bacterial small subunit ribosomal RNA", at positions 28 to 507 of the family's 1533-position model. The record is from RNAcentral.